Molecule: ribosomal RNA, 484 nt
Filed under: uncultured bacterium
Lineage: Bacteria
Description: partial 16S ribosomal RNA
Rfam family: Bacterial small subunit ribosomal RNA
Source: RNAcentral
AUUGAACGCUGGCGGCAGGCCUAACACAUGCAAGUCGAGCGGAUGAAGGGAGCUUGCUCCUGGAUUCAGCGGCGGACGGGUGAGUAAUGCCUAGGAAUCUGCCUGGUAGUGGGGGAUAACGUCCGGAAACGGGCGCUAAUACCGCAUACGUCCUGAGGGAGAAAGUGGGGGAUCUUCGGACCUCACGCUAUCAGAUGAGCCUAGGUCGGAUUAGCUAGUUGGUGGGGUAAAGGCCUACCAAGGCGACGAUCCGUAACUGGUCUGAGAGGAUGAUCAGUCGCACUGGAACUGAGACACGGUCCAGACUCCUACGGGAGGCAGCAGUGGGGAAUAUUGGACAAUGGGCGAAAGCCUGAUCCAGCCAUGCCGCGUGUAUGAAGAAGGUCUUCGGAUUGUAAAGCACUUUAAGUUGGGAGGAAGGGCAGUAAGUUAAUACCUUGCUGUUUUGACGUUACCAACAGAAUAAGCACCGGCUAACUUCGUG